UCUAGACUCCUCACAAGUGUAUUUUUUUUUUUAAAUAUAGAAAGUUUGAAGUGUAGAAUGAGAAAUUUAAAGUGCCAAUAACAAUUCCCUAAUCAAUAAAAGCCCACUUACACUUGGAUUAAGAAUAAAAAAACAAUUUUUUUAUUUCUCCGAAUAAAAAAAUGAUUGCUCUUAAUUAACUGAACUACAAUUCUUAUUGCGGUUUCAUGUUUCUAUUCUCACUUGGAAGUUUUAUAGAAGUGGCUUAUGAUAACCGACUAAUCAAUAAAAGCCCAUUUACACUUGGAUAAAGAAUGAUCGAGUUGGACCAGAUCGGCCGGACCCAGCCCAUUUGGCCACCGCAUUGUUUCAACCCAUAUCUAGUUCGGAUCUUGAAACUUGAAUUCACUCCAUCCAGCUGCCCAUCACUGAUCAGUCUUCCAACAAAACCCAUGGAUCCUCCACAUGGAGGGAGGCCAUGCUUGCUUCACCAUCCCCACCACCACCUCCACCACCAUCACCACCGCCACCCUUUAUUCCUCAGCCCUCUCCACCACCGCCGCCACCACCACCACCACUUCCACCAUCUCCGCCUCAAUUUUGCGUCUUUUCCUCAAAACCGAGAACCCCCAGCUGCCGCCCCCAUUCCUUUCCCAACCCAUAUGAAUUCAGAACCUUCUGAGCUCAAAGAAGCGCACUACGACGAUCCUACCUUUCUGGAAUUAGGAAUGUGAGAUGAAUGCAUAUGGCGUUUUUGCACCUCAAGAAACUCCAAUUUAGGUUCACACAUGCCGGAUGCAAGCAAAUUAUUGUCCUCGAUUUGGCAAUUCAAGAUUUGGUUUCUGAUCAGUUUGUUAACAGGACAUUGCCGGAGCAGACGUAUGGUGAAAUCGGUGAAGGUGUGGUGGAAGAGGAAGAGGAUGAUGAACCGAUUUUCGUCUUAACAGACGAGUGGAAGGAGUUUUUAGCAAAAUGUGAAGCUAAGAGGAAACUAGAGAAGCAGCAGGCCAAGAAGAAGGGAAAAUAUAAACAGAGUCAAGAGUGAAAUCAUAAGUUUCCUUUGGCUACGAGCCUGACUUGUAAGUGGCGUUUUUAUUUUUUAUUUUUGAAAUAUUGGCAACGAUGAAAUGUUGAAGUAAUUUUUGUAGAAAAAUGUAGCAAUUAUGCCAGAGAAAACCCUAAUGUGACUCCAAUGUUCAUCGAAAGGAAGCUUUCUGAUUUAUGUGACA
This is an RNA transcript of Pyrus x bretschneideri (Chinese white pear), 1208 nucleotides long. It is a transcript of the gene named transcription factor MafB-like, with no coding region annotated. The record is from RefSeq and is a predicted model, not a curated record. NCBI's taxonomy places the organism in Eukaryota, Viridiplantae, Streptophyta, Magnoliopsida, Rosales, Rosaceae. The transcript is spliced from 3 exons.